UACGUAAGGUCCGAGCGUUGUCCGGAAUCAUUGGGCGUAAAGGGUACGUAGGCGGAUAAGCAAGUUAGAAGUGAAAUCCUAUAGCUCAACUAUAGUAAGCUUUUAAAACUGCUCAUCUUGAGGUUUGGAAGGGAAAGUGGAAUUCCUAGUGUAGCGGUGAAAUGCGUAGAUAUUUGGAGGAACACCGGUGGCGAAGGCGACUUUCUGGCCAUCAACUGACGCUGAGGCUCGAAAGUGUGGGUAGCAAACAGG
RNAcentral lists this ribosomal RNA (252 nucleotides) under uncultured bacterium. Its description in RNAcentral is "partial 16S ribosomal RNA". It matches the Rfam family "Bacterial small subunit ribosomal RNA", at positions 524 to 776 of the family's 1533-position model. The record is from RNAcentral.